GACGAACGCUGGCGGCGUGCUUAACACAUGCAAGUCGAACGGAAAGGCCCUGCUUUUGUGGGGUGCUCGAGUGGCGAACGGGUGAGUAACACGUGAGUAACCUGCCCUUGACUUUGGGAUAACUUCAGGAAACUGGGGCUAAUACCGGAUAGGAGCUCCUGCUGCAUGGUGGGGGUUGGAAAGUUUCGGCGGUUGGGGAUGGACUCGCGGCUUAUCAGCUUGUUGGUGGGGUAGUGGCUUACCAAGGCUUUGACGGGUAGCCGGCCUGAGAGGGUGACCGGCCACAUUGGGACUGAGAUACGGCCCAGACUCCUACGGGAGGCAGCAGUGGGGAAUAUUGCACAAUGGGCGGAAGCCUGAUGCAGCAACGCCGCGUGCGGGAUAACGGCCUUCGGGUUGUAAACCGCUUUCGCCUGUGACGAAGCGUGAGUGACGGUAAUGGGUAAAGAAGCACCGGCUAACUACGUGCCAGCAGCCGCGGUGAUACGUAGGGUGCGAGCGUUGUCCGGAUUUAUUGGGCGUAAAGGGCUCGUAGGUGGUUGAUCGCGUCGGAAGUGUAAUCUUGGGGCUUAACCCUGAGCGUGCUUUCGAUACGGGUUGACUUGAGGAAGGUAGGGGAGAAUGGAAUUCCUGGUGGAGCGGUGGAAUGCGCAGAUAUCAGGAGGAACACCAGUGGCGAAGGCGGUUCUCUGGGCCUUUCCUGACGCUGAGGAGCGAAAGCGUGGGGAGCGAACAGGCUUAGAUACCCUGGUAGUCCACGCUGUAAACGGUGGGUACUAGGUGUGGGGUCCAUUCCACGGGUUCCGUGCCGUAGCUAACGCUUUAAGUACCCCGCCUGGGGAGUACGGCCGCAAGGCUAAAACUCAAAGGAAUUGACGGGGCCCCGCACAAGCGGCGGAGCAUGCGGAUUAAUUCGAUGCAACGCGUAGAACCUUACCUGGGUUUGACAUGGAUCGGGAGUGCUCAGAGAUGGGUGUGCCUCUUUUGGGGUCGGUUCACAGGUGGUGCAUGGCUGUCGUCAGCUCGUGUCGUGAGAUGUUGGGUUAAGUCCCGCAACGAGCGCAACCCUUGUUCACUGUUGCCAGCACGUUAUGGUGGGGACUCAGUGGAGACCGCCGGGGUCAACUCGGAGGAAGGUGGGGAUGACGUCAAGUCAUCAUGCCCCUUAUGUCCAGGGCUUCACGCAUGCUACAAUGGCUGGUACAGAGAGUGGCGAGCCUGUGAGGGUGAGCGAAUCUCGGAAAGCCGGUCUCAGUUCGGAUUGGGGUCUGCAACUCGACCUCAUGAAGUCGGAGUCGCUAGUAAUCGCAGAUCAGCAACGCUGCGGUGAAAACGUUCCCGGGGCU
This 1346-nucleotide ribosomal RNA is filed under the name uncultured bacterium. Its description in RNAcentral is "partial 16S ribosomal RNA". It matches the Rfam family "Bacterial small subunit ribosomal RNA", at positions 28 to 1381 of the family's 1533-position model. The record is from RNAcentral.